AUUCUCUUAGUAUUAAUCAGUACAAUUGACUUCCAAUCACUUAGUUCUGGAGCUACCCAGAAGAGAAUA
This 69-nucleotide transfer RNA is filed under the name Marmota monax (woodchuck). RNAcentral describes it as "tRNA-Gly". Lineage: Eukaryota; Metazoa; Chordata; Mammalia; Rodentia; Sciuridae. The record is from RNAcentral.